Molecule: ribosomal RNA, 637 nt
Filed under: Pleurotus floridanus
Lineage: Eukaryota; Fungi; Basidiomycota; Agaricomycetes; Agaricales; Pleurotaceae
Description: eukaryotic LSU rRNA
Rfam family: 5.8S ribosomal RNA (bases 234-387)
Source: RNAcentral
GGGAUAGGAUACUAUGGAGUUGUUGCUGGCCUCUAGGGGCAUGUGCACGCUUCACUAGUCUUUCAACCACCUGUGAACUUUUGAUAGAUCUGUGAAGUCGUCUUUCAAGUCGUCAGACUUGGUUGGUGGGAAUUAAACCUCCCCGUGUGACCACCCCAUCCAAUUACUUACACACCCCCCAUGUGUGUCUACACAAGUGAUUUUAAGGGGCUUGUGCCCAUAUACCCCAAAACAACUCUUUACAACAGAUAUCUUGUGUCUCUCAUCUCUAAAAAAAACACCGCAAAGUGAUAAAAAAAGUGAAAAGUGCAAAUCUCUGAAACACCUCAACUCUUAACACACCUCGUGCCCCUCGUGAUACUCAGAGGCAUGCGUGUGUGAGAGUGACAAUAUUCUCUCACUCUCACUGUGGUCUUUCCAUUUGGAUGUUUGAUUGUUGGGGGCUGCUGGCCUUGACAGGUCGCCUCCCCUUAAUGCAUUACAGGACUUCUCAUUGCCCCUGCCCAUGAGUGAUAAUUACACUCAUCAAUAGCACGCAGGAAAGAGUCCAGCUCUCUAAUCGUCGCAAGGACAAUUUGACAUUUGACCUCAAAUCAGUAGACUACCGCUGAACUUAAGCAAUCACACGCGGAGAAAA